AGUAGUUAAGAGCUUGGCUGCUAACCAAAAAGUUGGUAGUUCAAAUCUACCAGCUGCUC
Molecule: transfer RNA, 59 nt
Filed under: Loxodonta africana (African savanna elephant)
Lineage: Eukaryota; Metazoa; Chordata; Mammalia; Proboscidea; Elephantidae
Rfam family: tRNA
About the family: Transfer RNA (tRNA) molecules are approximately 80 nucleotides in length. Their secondary structure includes four short double-helical elements and three loops (D, anti-codon, and T loops).
Source: Rfam by way of RNAcentral